Molecule: ribosomal RNA, 439 nt
Filed under: uncultured bacterium
Lineage: Bacteria
Description: partial 16S ribosomal RNA
Rfam family: Bacterial small subunit ribosomal RNA
Source: RNAcentral
CUACGGGCGGCUGCAGUGGGGAAUUUUGCGCAAUGGGGGAAACCCUGACGCAGCAAUACCGCGUGAGUGAAGAAGGCCUUUGGGUCGUAAAGCUCUUUUCUUGGGGAAGAUAGUGACGGUACCCAAGGAAUAAGCACCGGCUAACUCCGUGCCAGCAGCCGCGGUAAUACGGAGGGUGCAAGCGUUGUUCGGAUUUACUGGGCGUAAAGGGCACGUAGGCGGCACAGCAAGUUAAGGGUGAAAUCCCGGGGCUCAACUCCGGAACUGCUCUUAAAACUGCUGAGCUAGAGAUAGUCAGAGGCGGGUGGGAUUCCAGGUGUAGAGGUGAAAUUCGUAGAUAUCUGGAGGAACACCGGUGGCGAAGGCGGCCCGCUGGGGCUAUUCUGACGCUAAGGUGCGAAAGCGUGGGGAGCAAACGGGAUUAGAUACCCCUGUAGUC